GUAUUCAGGAAGUAAAAGGGCCUUUAUUCACGUACCGAUCGGGUCUCAGAUGAACUCCUGUUCCAAAAAGAUCUGAGAGAAGAAAGCAUGGUGUAGAUUCCUUUUGUAAGCAGCAUAUGCCCUCCCAUACAGUAUAACCCCUCCUAUAUUCCUCAGACCAAUCAGCACAUAGGAUAUUCAGGAUCACCUUAUAUAGGCAGACCACAUGGCUUGUUGAAGACAAAGGAAUUUAUUACCCACUUCCACACAUGCUCAGUAUACUGAUGAC
This is a non-coding RNA of Pelobates cultripes (western spadefoot toad), 268 nucleotides long. Lineage: Eukaryota; Metazoa; Chordata; Amphibia; Anura; Pelobatidae. The record is from the annotation of a GenBank genome assembly.